RNAcentral lists this ribosomal RNA (445 nucleotides) under Camaricus sp. SPB-2007. RNAcentral describes it as "partial 16S ribosomal RNA". The record is from RNAcentral. Lineage: Eukaryota; Metazoa; Arthropoda; Arachnida; Araneae; Thomisidae.
UGUUAUUAGAAAUUCUUAAUAAUAAAAUCUGCUCAAUGAAACAAUUUUAAAUAGCCGCUAUACGUGCUAAGGUAGUAUAAUAAUUUGUCUUUUAAUUUAAGACUAGAACAAAAGAUUUUUCAUUUAAAUAAAUUUCUUUUAUUUAUAAAUUUAAAUUAUUUUUAAUAUAAAAAAAUAUUAAUAAAAAAAAUAGACGAUAAGACCCUAUUGAACUUUACUUUAGUUAAACUGGGGUAGUUAAUUAAUUAUUAUUUUAAUAUAACUUAUUACAAAAAAGUUCUAAUAUAAUUAAUUACAUGAUUAAGUUACCAUAGGGAUAACAGUGUAAUACUAUUUUUAAGUUCAUAUUUAAAAUAAUGAUUGCAACCUCGAUGUUGACUUAAUUUACCUUAAUAACGCAAUAGUUAUUUAUGGAAGUCUGUUCGACUUUUAAAUAAUUACAUGA